RNAcentral lists this ribosomal RNA (754 nucleotides) under uncultured Actinomyces sp. RNAcentral's name for it is "bacterial SSU rRNA". It matches the Rfam family "Bacterial small subunit ribosomal RNA", at positions 28 to 776 of the family's 1533-position model. The record is from RNAcentral. Lineage: Bacteria; Bacillati; Actinomycetota; Actinomycetes; Actinomycetales; Actinomycetaceae.
GACGAACGCUGGCGGCGUGCUUAACACAUGCAAGUCGAACGAAAAUACCAAGCUUGCUUGGUUGAUUAGUGGCGAACGGGUGAGUAACACGUGAGUAACCUGCCCCUUACUUUCCUGGAUAACUGCUCGAAAGGGUAGCUAAUACGGGAUAUUCUGACCAUCCUGCAUGGGUUGGUUUGGAAAGGUUUUUUCUGGUAAGGGAUGGGCUCGCGGCCUAUCAGCUUGUUGGUGGGGUGAUGGCCUACCAAGGCUUUGACGGGUAGCCGGCCUGAGAGGGUGGACGGUCACACUGGGACUGAGAUACGGCCCAGACUCCUACGGGAGGCAGCAGUGGGGAAUAUUGCACAAUGGGCGCAAGCCUGAUGCAGCGACGCCGCGUGAGGGAUGAAGGCCUUCGGGUUGUAAACCUCUUUCGUCAGGGAACAAGGCACCGUCUUUUGGUGGUGUUGAGGGUACCUGGAUAAGAAGCGCCGGCUAACUACGUGCCAGCAGCCGCGGUAAUACGUAGGGCGCAAGCGUUGUCCGGAAUUAUUGGGCGUAAAGAGCUCGUAGGCGGCUGGUCGCGUCUGUCGUGAAAACUUCCGGCUCAACCGGGGGCUUGCGGUGGGUACGGGCCGGCUAGAGUGCGGUAGGGGUAACUGGAACUCCUGGUGUAGCGGUGGAAUGCGCAGAUAUCAGGAAGAACACCGAUGGCGAAGGCAGGUUACUGGGCCGUUACUGACGCUGAGGAGCGAAAGCGUGGGGAGCGAACAGG